GUGAUGAGGCUGACCCCCAGCGGGCAGCGGGGUGGGGAUGGCGGGCACUCACAUGGCCACUUGCAGAAUUGGGGGCGUGAGGAGGUGUCCUCCAGUGGAGCUGGUUUUUUUCCCCUCUGAGCAUCCGGAAAGGGCUGGCGUGGUGCAGCGGCAGAGACCUGGGCCUGCAAGAGGAAGAGAAUCGCCUGAGGACACAGGAGCGGGGACGGGAGCCAGGCUUUGAGUCAGUCCUCCCUCUCCUGGGCAAGCCAUGGAUCAUCCUGCCCAGCACUUCUCGUCCUUGACGGCUGAGUUCUGAGGGGAGGAAGGCAAGACCCGAAGAGACAGAUGGACACUCCCAGGAUGACACAGUUCACAGCAAGGCCAAGAUGCAAA
RNAcentral lists this long non-coding RNA (375 nucleotides) under Homo sapiens (human). RNAcentral describes it as "HSALNT0144230". The record is from RNAcentral. Lineage: Eukaryota; Metazoa; Chordata; Mammalia; Primates; Hominidae.